This 375-nucleotide unclassified non-coding RNA is filed under the name uncultured Actinomycetes bacterium. RNAcentral's name for it is "uncultured actinobacterium contains 16S-23S intergenic spacer region". The record is from RNAcentral. Lineage: Bacteria; Bacillati; Actinomycetota; Actinomycetes.
UCCGAUUUGUCACCGGCAGUCUCCUAUGAGUCCCCGUCUUUCACGCUGGCAACUAAGGACAGGGGUUGCGCUCGUUGCGGCACUUAAGCCAACACCUCACGGCACGAGCUGACGACAGCCUUGCAGCACCUGUGCUAGCCCCUUGCGGACACGCGCUUUCACGCGUUUUAACUAGCAUGUCAAGCCUAGGUAAGGUUCUUCGCGUUGCAUCGAAUUAAGCCACAUGCUCCGCCGCUUGUGCGGGUCCCCGUCAAUUCCUUUGAGUUUUAGCCUUGCGGCCGUACUCCCCAGGCGGGGUGCUUAAUGCGUUAGCUGCGGCACGGACGGAGUCGACACCGCCCACACCUAGUUCCCAUCGUUUACGGCGUGGACUAC